GCAGUCGAACGGAAGAAUAGCAAUAUUCUUUAGUGGCAAACGGGUGAGUAACACGUUGAGAAUCUGUCUUUUGGUGGGGGAUAGCCAGUAGAAAUGCUGGGUAAUACCGCAUGCUCUUGCAAAACAAGAAAAGAUUUAUCGCCAAGAGGUGAGCUCGCGUCAGAUUAGGUAGUUGGUGGGGUAAAGGCCUACCAAGCCUGUGAUCUGUAGCUGGUCUGAGAGGACGAUCAGCCACACUGGGACUGAGAUACGGCCCAGACUUCUACGGAAGGCAGCAGUGGGGAAUUUUGGACAAUGGGGGAAACCCUGAUCCAGCUAUGCCACGUGAGGGAAGACGGCCUUUGGGUUGUAAACCUCUUUUACCUGUGACGAUGAUGACGGUAGCAGGAGAAAAAGUCCCGGCUAACUCUGUGCCAGCAGCCGCGGUAAGACAGAGGGGGCUAGCGUUGUUCGGAAUGAUUGGGCGUAAAGGGUGCGUAGGCGGAUUUUUAAGUAAGAUGUGAAAUCCCCAGACUUAAUCUGGGAGGGUCGUUUUAAACUGAAAAUCUAGAGAACCAAAGAGAGAAGCGGAAUUUCUGGUGGAGAAGUGAAAUUUGUUGAUAUCAGAAGGAACACCAAAGGCGAAGGCAGCUUCUUGGGUGGUUACUGACGUUGAGGCACGAAAGCGUGGGGAGCAAACAGGAUUAGAUGCCCUGGUAGUCCACGCCCUAAACGAUGAGCGCUUGGCGCCGGAUCUUUUUUCGGUGCCGUAGCUAACGCGUUAAGCGCUCCGCCUGGGGAGUACGGUCGCAAGAUUAAAACUUAAAGGAAUUGACGG
This 817-nucleotide ribosomal RNA is filed under the name uncultured bacterium. Its description in RNAcentral is "bacterial SSU rRNA". It matches the Rfam family "Bacterial small subunit ribosomal RNA", at positions 57 to 916 of the family's 1533-position model. The record is from RNAcentral.